This 427-nucleotide ribosomal RNA is filed under the name uncultured bacterium. RNAcentral's name for it is "partial 16S ribosomal RNA". It matches the Rfam family "Bacterial small subunit ribosomal RNA", at positions 355 to 774 of the family's 1533-position model. The record is from RNAcentral.
UGGGGAAUAUUGCACAAUGGGCGCAAGCCUGAUGCAGCCAUGCCGCGUGUAUGAAGAAGGCCUUCGGGUUGUAAAGUACUUUCAGCGAGGAGGAAGGCGUUGUGGUUAAUAACCGCAACGAUUGACGUUACUCGCAGAAGAAGCACCGGCUAACUCCGUGCCAGCAGCCGCGGUACUACGGAGGGUGCAAGCGUUAAUCGGAAUUACUGGGCGUAAAGCGCACGCAGGCGGUCUGUCAAGUCGGAUGUGAAAUCCCCGGGCUCAACCUGGGAACUGCAUCCGAAACUGGCAGGCUAGAGUCUUGUAGAGGGGGGUAGAAUUCCAGGUGUAGCGGUGAAAUGCGUAGAGAUCUGGAGGAAUACCGGUGGCGAAGGCGGCCCCCUGGACAAAGACUGACGCUCAGGUGCGAAGGCGUGGGGAGCAAACA